Molecule: ribosomal RNA, 460 nt
Filed under: uncultured bacterium
Lineage: Bacteria
Description: partial 16S ribosomal RNA
Rfam family: Bacterial small subunit ribosomal RNA
Source: RNAcentral
CCUACGGGAGGCAGCAGUGAGGAAUAUUGGUCAAUGGGCGUAAGCCUGAACCAGCCAAGUCGCGUGAGGGAUGAAGGUCCUAUGGAUCGUAAACCUCUUUUAUAAGGGAGUAAAGUGCGGGACGCGUCCCGUUCUGUAUGUACCUUAUGAAUAAGGAUCGGCUAACUCCGUGCCAGCAGCCGCGGUAAUACGGAGGAUCCGAGCGUUAUCCGGGUUUAUUGGGUUUAAAGGGUGCGGCGGCGGGCUGUUAAGUCAGCGGUGAAAGUCUGGGGCUCAACCCUAGAAGUGCCGUUGAAACUGGGAGGCUUGAGUGUGUGAGAGGCAGGCGGAAUGCGUGGUGUAGCGGUGAAAUGCUUAGAUAUCACGCAGAACCCCGAUUGCGAAGGCAGCAUGCCAGGGCAUGACUGACGCUGAUGCACGAAAGCGUGGGGAUCGAACAGGAUUAGAUACCCCUGUAGUC